CAAUAGCGUAUAUUAAAGUUGUUGCAGUUAAAAAGCUCGUAGUUGGAUUUCUGGUUGAAGCGACCGGUCGGGCGUUGAUUCGUCUGCACUGGAGUCGGUUUUGGCAAUCCUCUAGGAAAGUGCGUCUGGUAUUAAGUUAUCGGGCGUAUGAUCCUGGUCUUUUACUGUGAAAAAAUUAGAGUGUUUAAAGCAGGCCUUCGCCUUGAAUACAUUAGCAUGGAAUAAUAAGAUAGGACUUUGGUCUAUUUUGUUGGUUUGCAGACCGAAGUAAUGAUUAAUAGGGAUAGUUGGGGGUAUUUAUAUUCCGAUGUCAGAGGUGAAAUUCUUAGAUUUUCGGAAGAUAAACUUAUGCGAAAGCAUUUACCAAGGAUGUUUNCAUUAA
RNAcentral lists this ribosomal RNA (382 nucleotides) under uncultured eukaryote. Its description in RNAcentral is "partial 18S ribosomal RNA". It matches the Rfam family "Eukaryotic small subunit ribosomal RNA", at positions 592 to 976 of the family's 1831-position model. The record is from RNAcentral.